Molecule: long non-coding RNA, 827 nt
Filed under: Struthio camelus australis
Lineage: Eukaryota; Metazoa; Chordata; Aves; Struthioniformes; Struthionidae
Description: lncRNA (ENSSCUG00000007563.1)
Source: RNAcentral
GGGGGUACUGGGAGCCGGUCGGGGAGGCCUGGGCCAGGUACUGGGAGGGGCUUGGGGGAGCACUGGGGGAAAUGGGAGGGAACUGGUGGUACUGGGAGCUCCGCUGGCACCAGGGCUCUGUCCCCAUGGCCCCGACUGUGCCGUGCUGCGGUGUCCCUGGUGUCACUGGCCUCCUUGGUAACAUCAGUGUUGCUUGUGUCCCCGGUGUCCCCCAUUGUCAGUUGAGUCCCCGGUGUCCCUGUUGUGAGUUGUGUCCCCAUUGUCACGGGCGUCCCUGUUGUUCCCAUUGUCCCCGUCGUCAGUGGUGUCCCCAGUGUCAUGGGUGUCCCUGUUGUCCCGGUCAUCCCCAGUGUCCCUGUUGUGCCUGGUGUCGGUUGUGUCCCCAGUGUCACAGGUGUCCCUGUUCCCAUCAUCCCCAGUGUCAGGGGUGUCCCUGGUGUCCCGGUCAUCCCCAGCGUCCCUGUUGUGCCUGGUGUCGGUUGUGUCCCCAGUGUCACGGGUGUCCCUGUUGUCCCAGUCGUCCCCAGCGUCCCUGUUGUGCCUGGUGUCGGUUGUGUCCCCAGUGUCACGGGUGUCCCUGUUGUCCCAGUCGUCCCCAGCGUCCCUGUUGUGCCUGGUGUCGGUUGUGUCCCCAGUGUCACGGGUGUCCCUGUUGUCCCAGUCGUCCCCAGCGUCCCUGUUGUGCCUGGUGUCGGUUGUGUCCCCAGAGUCACAGGUGUCCCUGUUCCCAUUGUCCCUGGUGUCAGUGGUGUCCCCAUUGUCACGGGUGUCCCUGGUGUCCCCAGCGUCCCUGUUGUGCCUGGUGUCGGUUGUGUCCCCAGUGUCAC